This is a long non-coding RNA of Dioscorea cayenensis subsp. rotundata (Guinea yam), 527 nucleotides long. RefSeq lists it as uncharacterized. The record is from RefSeq and is a predicted model, not a curated record. NCBI's taxonomy places the organism in Eukaryota, Viridiplantae, Streptophyta, Magnoliopsida, Dioscoreales, Dioscoreaceae. The transcript has 3 exons.
UCUCUCUCUCUCUCUCUCUCUCUCUCGUGUUUAGGGUUCGUCGCUCCGGGAUCGCCGAUGGCGGAGGUCGUCUACGUAGGCUCCGGAGGGAACCAUGGGGCGUUCGCUACCCCGUUGCUGGUGUCUGAAGGCUCCCAAGAUCCCGAUCGGAGACCUAGAUGUAUAGAUCUCGCCGGAGAAUGAAGCAUCUUCGAUCACGGAUCCGAUCGGGGCGUUGGAGAGAAUCAAAACGCACUGAAACAACUACCUUGAGGUUCCGAUCGGCACCGAUGACAUACCUCGCUAUGAAAGUGGUUUAUAUAGAUACGGGUGGAGCAUCUAAAAGGUUUUAGGUGAAGAGGAUGGCGCACAUGGUUGCUUGGCAUCUACAGAAGUUAUUCAUCCAUUGCAGUGUUCUGCCUCAGAAUGAUAACAGUGGAAAUAAUGCUGUGUCAAUAGUAAGCUCGCCUUGGAUAUCCUUAACAACAAGGAUAAAUGCGCUCUUUCCUCUCUUGAACAUCAUGAAAAUGCAGUUUGUUAGUUUCUCC